RNAcentral lists this ribosomal RNA (468 nucleotides) under uncultured bacterium. RNAcentral describes it as "partial 16S ribosomal RNA". It matches the Rfam family "Bacterial small subunit ribosomal RNA", at positions 28 to 507 of the family's 1533-position model. The record is from RNAcentral.
GACGAACGCUGGCGGCGUGCUUAACACAUGCAAGUCGAACGGAAAGGCCCUGCUUUUGUGGGGUGCUCGAGUGGCGAACGGGUGAGUAACACGUGAGUAACCUGCCCUUGACUUUGGGAUAACUUCAGGAAACUGGGGCUAAUACCGGAUAGGAGCUCCUGCUGCAUGGUGGGGGUUGGAAAGUUUCGGCGGUUGGGGAUGGACUCGCGGCUUAUCAGCUUGUUGGUGGGGUAGUGGCUUACCCAGGCUUUGACGGGUAGCCGGCCUGUGAGGGUGACCGGCCACAUUGGUACUGAGAUACGGCCCAGACUCCUACGUUAGGCAGCAGUGGGGAAUAUUGCACAAUGGGCGGAAGCCUGAUGCAGCAACGCCGCGUGCGUGAUGACGGCCUUCGGGUUGUAAACCGCUUUCGCCUGUGACGAAGCGUGAGUGACGGUAAUGGGUAAAGAAGCACCGGCUAACUACGUG